CGGAGGAACAUGUGGUUUAAUUCGAUGAUACGCGAGGAACCUUACCUGGGCUUUAAAUGUAGAGUGCAUUUUCUAGAGAUAGGAAUUCCCUUCGGGGCUUUUCUGCAAGGUGCUGCAUGGUUGUCGUCAGCUCGUGCCGUGAGGUGUCGGGUUAAGUCCCAUAACGAGCGCAACCCUUAUCGUUAGUUGCCAUCUGGUAAAGCAGGGGACUCUAGCGAAACUGCACCGUAAGGUGAGAGGAAGGUGGGGAUGACGUCAAAUCAGUACGGCCCUUAUGUCCAGGGCUACACACGUGUUACAAUGGCCGGUACAGAGGGCAGCUACCUGGUGACAGGAUGCUAAUCUCGAAAACCGGUCUCAGUUCGGAUCGAAGUCUGCAACUCGACUUCGUGAAGCUGGAUUCGCUAGUAAUCGCGCAUCAGCCAUGGCGCGGUCGAAUACGUUCCCGGGCCUU
Molecule: ribosomal RNA, 454 nt
Filed under: uncultured Sphingobacteriales bacterium
Lineage: Bacteria; Pseudomonadati; Bacteroidota; Sphingobacteriia; Sphingobacteriales
Description: bacterial SSU rRNA
Rfam family: Bacterial small subunit ribosomal RNA
Source: RNAcentral